GAUGAAGAACGUAGCAAAAUGCGAUAAGUAAUGCGAAUUGCAGAAUUUCCGUGAGUCAUCGAAUCUUUGAACGCACAUUGCGCCCCUUGGUAUUCCGAGGGGCAUGCCUGUUCGAGCGUCAUAUUAACCACUCCCGCUUGCGGGGUCUUGGGCUUCGCCUCCGGGCGGGCCUUAAAAUCAGUGGCGGUGCCGUCGGGCUCUACGCGUAGUAAAUUUUCUCGCGAUAGGGUCCCGGUGGAUGCUUGCCAACAACCCCCAACUUCUUAAGGUUGACCUCGGAUCAGGUAGGGAUACCCGCUGAACUUAAGCAUAUCAAUAAGCGGAGGA
RNAcentral lists this unclassified non-coding RNA (327 nucleotides) under soil metagenome. RNAcentral's name for it is "partial contains 5.8S ribosomal RNA, internal transcribed spacer 2, and large subunit ribosomal RNA". The stretch from base 1 to 121 matches the Rfam family "5.8S ribosomal RNA", at positions 35 to 154 of the family's 154-position model. The record is from RNAcentral.